Molecule: ribosomal RNA, 566 nt
Filed under: uncultured bacterium
Lineage: Bacteria
Description: bacterial SSU rRNA
Rfam family: Bacterial small subunit ribosomal RNA
Source: RNAcentral
UACUCCUACGGGAGGCAGCAGUGGGGAAUAUUGGACAAUGGACCGAGAGUCUGAUCCAGCAAUUCUGUGUGCACGAUGAAGUUUUUCGGAAUGUAAAGUGCUUUCAGUUGGGAAGAAACAAAUGACGGUACCAACAGAAGAAGUGACGGCUAAAUACGUGCCAGCAGCCGCGGUAAUACGUAUGUCACGAGCGUUAUCCGGAUUUAUUGGGCGUAAAGCGCGUCUAGGUGGUUAUGUAAGUCUGAUGUGAAAAUGCAGGGCUCAACUCUGUAUUGCGUUGGAAACUGUAUAACUAGAGUACUGGAGAGGUAAGCGGAGCUACAAGUGUAGAGGUGAAAUUCGUAGAUAUUCGUAGGAAUGCCGAUGGGGAAGCCAGCUUACUGGACAGAUACUGACGCUGAAGCGCGAAAGCGUGGGUAGCAAACAGGAUUAGAUACCCUGGUAGUCCACGCCGUAAACGAUGAUUACUAGGUGUUGGGGGUCGAACCUCAGCGCCCAAGCAAACGCGAUAAGUAAUCCGCCUGGGGAGUACGUACGCAAGUAUGAAACUCAAAGGAAUUGACGGA